RNAcentral lists this ribosomal RNA (838 nucleotides) under Diplodia agrifolia. Its description in RNAcentral is "eukaryotic LSU rRNA". It matches the Rfam family "Eukaryotic large subunit ribosomal RNA", at positions 87 to 943 of the family's 3401-position model. Lineage: Eukaryota; Fungi; Ascomycota; Dothideomycetes; Botryosphaeriales; Botryosphaeriaceae. The record is from RNAcentral.
CGGCGAGUGAAGCGGCAACAGCUCAAAUUUGAAAGCUGGCCCUUUUAGGGUCCGCGUUGUAAUUUGUAGAGGAUGAUUCGGCGAGGGCUCCCGCCUAAGUCCCCUGGAACGGGGCGUCAUAGAGGGUGAGAAUCCCGUAUGCGGUGGGCUGCCUUAGCCAUGUGAAUCUCCUUCGACGAGUCGAGUUGUUUGGGAAUGCAGCUCUAAAUGGGAGGUAAAUUUCUUCUAAAGCUAAAUACCGGCCAGAGACCGAUAGCGCACAAGUAGAGUGAUCGAAAGAUGAAAAGCACUUUGGAAAGAGAGUUAAAAAGUACGUGAAAUUGUUGAAAGGGAAGCGCUUGCAACCAGACUUGUCCGCAGUUGCUCAGCCGGUCUCCUGACCGGCGUACUCUUCUGCGGCCAGGCCAGCAUCAGUUCGGGCGGUCGGAUAAAGACCUCGGGAAUGUAGCUCCUCUCGGGGAGUGUUAUAGCCCGGGGUGGAAUGCGGCCAGCCUGGACUGAGGAUCUCGCUUCGGCAAGGAUGCUGGCGUAAUGGUUGUAAGCGGCCCGUCUUGAAACACGGACCAAGGAGUCUAACAUCUAUGCGAGUGUUUGGGUGUCAAACCCAUACGCGUAAUGAAAGUGAACGGAGGUGGGAACCCGCAAGGGCGCACCAUCGGCCGAUCCUGAUGUCUUCGGAUGGAUUUGAGCAAGAGCAUAGCUGUUGGGACCCGAAAGAUGGUGAACUAUGCCUGAAUAGGGUGAAGCCAGAGGAAACUCUGGUGGAGGCUCGCAGCGGUUCUGACGUGCAAAUCGAUCGUCAAAUUUGGGUAUAGGGGCGAAAGACUAAUCGAACCAU